This 275-nucleotide ribosomal RNA is filed under the name uncultured Luteimonas sp. Its description in RNAcentral is "partial 16S ribosomal RNA". It matches the Rfam family "Bacterial small subunit ribosomal RNA", at positions 338 to 605 of the family's 1533-position model. Lineage: Bacteria; Pseudomonadati; Pseudomonadota; Gammaproteobacteria; Lysobacterales; Lysobacteraceae. The record is from RNAcentral.
CCUACGGGGGGCUGCAGUGGGGAAUAUUGGACAAUGGGCGCAAGCCUGAUCCAGCCAUGCCGCGUGGGUGAAGAAGGCCUUCGGGUUGUAAAGCCCUUUUGUUGGGAAAGAAAACUUUCCGAUUAAUACUCGGAGAGAAUGACGGUACCCAAAGAAUAAGCACCGGCUAACUUCGUGCCAGCAGCCGCGGUAAUACGAAGGGUGCAAGCGUUACUCGGAAUUACUGGGCGUAAAGCGUGCGUAGGUGGUUCGUUAAGUCUGAUGUGAAAGCCCUG